UACACUCGCUCUUCUUUCUCCGGCGAACUUCGGUUCUACUCUUUCUACCACCGCCGUUCAUUUAUCCCGGUGAAGCCCAGCUCUAACAGCUUCAUCCAAAGAUGAGUUUCAGCAAAUGGGGUGGGAAGCCUUCAAAUUCAUCAGAAAAGCAGAAAGCUUCCUCUACACCAACAGUUGAGGAGAUAAAUCGAGGUGUUGGAGAUAUUGGUUUGAACUCUGAACAGAAUGAAGGAUGGGAAGUGUAUGCUAGGAAGCCCAAGAACAAGGGUGGAAGCAGUGCUGGGAAGCAAUGGGCUCCUCAGAAUCCUAGUCCAAAAGCUUGGGGAAACCAGAAUACUAAAGCUUGGGGUCAUCCAGAUGUUGGUAAGAAAUCGGGAACGCGUAACAAUGCUGGAUCAGGGCGGGGUUCUGGAAAUAACUGGUCUACACCUAGUGAUCCUCAAAAACUUGCAAGGCCGCAUCUAUAUGAUGGAGGUUUCCCAUCAUCUGCUCCAGUUCCUCCUGCUCUGAAGAAUGGUUGGGAUUGGUCUUCUAGAGUAGCCUCAGCUCAUCCCAAGGAUAAUUCCCAGGUUGCUGCUGCUGCUGAUGAUGAUAAGGCCAGUGAACAUGAUGCUGAGGAUAAUGAAUUGGAUUUUCUUGAUGAAAGUGAUGAUGACCUUCACAGUGAUGACUUUGAUUCAGAUGUGGGUGAAAUGAGUUAUGAGACACGCAAGAAAAAUCCUUGGUUCAAUCAACUUUUUCACUCUCUUGACAGUUUGACUGUCACUGAGAUCAAUGAGCCUGAACGACAGUGGCACUGCCCUGCAUGCAAAGGUGGUCCAGGCGCAAUUGAAUGGUUUACAGGGUUG
Molecule: unclassified non-coding RNA, 848 nt
Filed under: Hevea brasiliensis (rubber tree)
Lineage: Eukaryota; Viridiplantae; Streptophyta; Magnoliopsida; Malpighiales; Euphorbiaceae
Source: RNAcentral